RNAcentral lists this ribosomal RNA (497 nucleotides) under uncultured bacterium. Its description in RNAcentral is "partial 16S ribosomal RNA". It matches the Rfam family "Bacterial small subunit ribosomal RNA", at positions 28 to 507 of the family's 1533-position model. The record is from RNAcentral.
GAUGAACGCUGGCGGCGUGCCUAAUACAUGCAAGUCGAGCGAACAGACGAGGAGCUUGCUCCUCUGACGUUAGCGGCGGACGGGUGAGUAACACGUGGAUAACCUACCUAUAAGACUGGGAUAACUUCGGGAAACCGGAGCUAAUACCGGAUAAUAUAUUGAACCGCAUGGUUCAAUAGUGAAAGACGGUUUUGCUGUCACUUAUAGAUGGAUCCGCGCCGCAUUAGCUAGUUGGUAAGGUAACGGCUUACCAAGGCGACGAUGCGUAGCCGACCUGAGAGGGUCGUGAGGCAGAAGGCGACUGUGAGACGGUCCGGACGCCUACGGGAGGCAGCAGUAGGGAAUGUGCGGCGAUGGGCGAAAGCCUGACGGAGCAAAGUCGCGUGAGGGAUGAAUGUCUUAGGAUCGUAAAAAGCUGUUACGAGUGAAGAAAAAAUGCGUAAGUAAAGACGAACGUCGGGACGCGACGUAAGAAGAAAGAAAAGGCUAACCACGUG